CCGCCGCGCCCGCCGCGCACGCCACCCGGCCCUCCGCCGCCGACGUCGACGUGCGCGCCGACCACAUCUACUACUGCGACGUGCACAGAUACGAGAUAGUGCGUCAGAAACUGGACGGCAGCGGUCGAGAAGUCUUCAUCAACGAGGACGUCGACAACUGCGAAGGCAUUGCGAUCGAUUGGAUGGGAGGCAACCUGUACUGGACGGACGCGGCGCUGGGCCGCGUGAGCGUGGCGCGGCUGAGUGCGCCGGCGCUGCGGCGCGCGCUCGUGGACCAGCGCGACUACAGCCCGCGCUCCAUCGCGCUCG
This is a long non-coding RNA of Ostrinia nubilalis (European corn borer), 309 nucleotides long. RefSeq lists it as uncharacterized. The transcript is spliced from 3 exons. Lineage: Eukaryota; Metazoa; Arthropoda; Insecta; Lepidoptera; Crambidae. The record is from RefSeq and is a predicted model, not a curated record.